Molecule: unclassified non-coding RNA, 278 nt
Filed under: uncultured fungus
Lineage: Eukaryota; Fungi
Description: partial contains 5.8S ribosomal RNA, internal transcribed spacer 2, and large subunit ribosomal RNA
Source: RNAcentral
AACGCACCUUGCGCCCAUUGGCAUUCCACUGGGCACGCCUGUUUGAGUGUCACGUCAACCAUCGCCUCGCGGGAUUGUCACGAUCUUGCGGAGCGGAUUUGGACGCUGCCGUCGUUGGCUCGUCUCGAAAUGCAUUAGCUGUCUAAGGACCGCCAUCCGGUGUGAUAAUUGUUGGUUAUAUGCGCCGUGGCCGUGUCUGGUGAAGGCUCACAAACCGCCCGCUCGGGCAAAUUUCAUGCUCUGGCCUCAAAUCAGGUGGGACUACCCGCUGAACUUAA